GCCUUGCAGGAUAAUGAUGUGAUCGCGUAUUUUCUUGUUGGUCUUGGCCUUGACUAUGAUCCCUUCGUCACCUCGAUGACUACCAAGAGUGAAGUCCUCAAGCUUGAUGAUGUGUUUGUACAUCUAAUGGCAUUUGAAG
Small nucleolar RNA from Cucurbita maxima (winter squash), 139 nucleotides. RefSeq annotates it as small nucleolar RNA Z247. Lineage: Eukaryota; Viridiplantae; Streptophyta; Magnoliopsida; Cucurbitales; Cucurbitaceae. The transcript has a single exon. The record is from RefSeq and is a predicted model, not a curated record.